Molecule: long non-coding RNA, 2883 nt
Filed under: Homo sapiens (human)
Lineage: Eukaryota; Metazoa; Chordata; Mammalia; Primates; Hominidae
Description: HSALNT0332375
Source: RNAcentral
CCCGCGCAUGCUCUAUGGGGUAGAGACGCUAGGCCGGCACUGCCUAGGUGGGCCGGGCGGUGCGAGGGUCGCCUUUCAGCCUUUACCUCUACCCACUGAAAUGGAGUAGGUCGGUGAGCGCCGAUCUGCUGGAGAAUCUCAUUAUCCCAUCGGCGCUCUGCCUGCUCCUGGCCUCCAAGCCUCUGAAGCCCCUCGGGUUUCAGCUGCCGGCUACCCUCGAGCCCGUGGUGCCCACGAGAGAGGCGACUUUACGUCAGCGGCCCUGGGCUGAGAUUUGAGAACGCGACCAAGUGGAGAAUGUUGGAGCCAGAUUUUAAAAUCCUUGUCUUCCUUCUGCGUGCUACUUGAUCUAAAUGAGAUACGGCAAAGUCACAGAACCUGUUUUUAUGUUUUUGCCUGAUUCAUACGGGCUUCUCCGGUGAAGAUGGGCCUGAAGUAACGCUUGGGUUGCUUCUGACGUUAUAACUCAUCCUGUAGCUGCAGCAACCGUGGUCCUUGCAACCUCAUAAAAAUGUUGCCAGCAUUGUUUCGAUAGUGCUGCUUAAUUCUUGGAAGGUUCUUCGGACUUCACACAUUCCAGCAGUAGCUCUCUCAGCUCCUGUCCUGCACAGCUUUGAAGUGCUGGUGAUGUCAUUGAACUCUUAAGUGCAAGAUGAAACAAGUCUUUCUGGGGUUCUAAGUAGCACCGCCUGAGAUGUGAUGGUGAGCUGAGCUGUACCUGAAUCCUGAGCUGCCCAGCCCAGGCAGGAAGCACACUGGCGAUCUCUUUCCAUCGGGGGGCAGCUGCCCUAGGCUGGAAGUAUUUUAGCUCUGAAUCUGCUGUUAGAGGGUCUAUCAUUCUUUGUCAUUUUUUUCUCUCAGAUACUGCUCUUUUUAGUUUAGUUUUAUUUAUUAAUAUCUUCCUACUGUGGUGCUUAACGUCUCCUUUCCCCCUCCUCCAAGGGUGAGAGGUCUGGUUGAAAGAUCUCUACUAGCUACGCAGUAAUUUUUUUAUAAUUCUUCCUUCCUUCAAAUGUGUCUUUUUGUGACCCAAUCGAACGCUGGCAAUGAAGUUCCUUAUCUCCAUUUGACUUGUGCAUGAAGCCAACACUCAGAAAUCCUACUUCAUCCCUUACCUUUUCUCUUUGUAGCUAACCCAAAAUGUGUUCAGUUUUACUAAAAGCUGAAGCUCUCCACAAACUUCUGAGUAUAGUGUACUCUGGCCGAAAUGGCAGCCACUUUUUCAAUAUUUUUCAUGUUAAUUACAUUUAACUACACUUAGUUUCAUGAAAUUGAAAUUUACAAAAAAGGAGGAAAAAACCAUGGGGUGGGGGUGGGGAAAUGUGGUAAAUUAUAUUUUUAGAGAAAUACCAGAAGUAGUUUUGUUUUAUUUCAAAAAAAAGUAAUUAAAAAUCGUUUAAAUCAUUCAUAACUUCUAUAAAGUUCUUUUCUAGCUUCUGUUUGACAUAAAAAUAACAAGAUAAUGAGUCGUGGGCCCGGGGAACCAGAAAUCUUGGCUGUUGAUCUGGUAUUUGUGGCUCUAUUGCUGAUUGGUAUAGAAGUGAACUUAUGUGACCAUAAAGGUGAAUGCAGUCAAAAUGGUCAGACAUGCAGUCAACUCUAAAGAUGUUGUGAUAGGGGCCGAAAGUCAAGAAAUAAACUUUAGUAGAUUACUGUGUGAUGGAGAAGAAAUUAUGAGAAGAAAUGCACCUGAAGUGGUCUCAGGGAUUUGUUUCACAUUAAAAAAAUAUACUUUAUUUUUUAGAGCAGUUUGAGGUUCACAGCAAAGUGAAAUAGAAAAUACAGAGAUGUCUCACCUACCCCCUACCCCCGCCAUGCACAGUUUCCUCCAUUAUCAUCAUCCCUAGCCAUAGUGAGAAUUUGUUACAAUUAGGGAACCUGCUUUGGCACAUCAUUAUCUCUCAAAGCACACAGUUUACAUUAGGGUUUUCUCUUGGUAUUGUACAUUCUCUGUUUUUUGACAAAUGUAUAAUGUCAUGUGUCUACCGUUAUAGUAUCAUACAGAAUAGUUUCACUGCCCUAAAAAUCUUCUGUAUUCUGCCUAUUCAUCUCUCUUUUUCUUUCCCCAAACCCCUGACAACCAUUGAUCUUUUUACUCUCUCCAUAGUUUUGUCUUCUCCAAAAUGUCAUAUAGUUGGAAUCGUACAGUAGUAGGUAGCAUUUUAGAGCAGCUUCUUUUACUUAGUAAUAAGCAUUUGUGUCAUUCAUGUAUUUUCAUAGUCUGAUGGCUCACAUCUUUUUGGCAUUGAAUGAUAUUUCAUUGUCUAGUUGUACCACAGUCUACUUAUCCAGCCAUCUACUGGAGGACAUCUUGGUUGCUUCCAAGUUAUGGCAAUUAUAAAUAAAGCAGCUAUACGUGUCCAUGUGAAAGUUUUGUGUGGGUGUAGGUUUUCAACUCACUUUGAAAAAUACCAGAGUGUGAUUGCUGGAUUGUAUUUCACUUUUCAGUUCUGUUUGUGAGUGUUAUUUUAAAAAGAUGCUAUAGGAUAUGCUGCCCUGCACAGAAUAGGUAGAUAGGAACCAGGCAAACGGAAUGUUAUCUGAGGCUCAUUCAUGUCAGUGUUCACUCCUGCAAUGCAGAGUAAAAUCUCUAGUAUAUAGUUAUAGUUUACAAUAACUGGAAGUAGGUUUCCAGGAAUAGGACAGGAUUGACAUGGAUUUUUGAUGCUGCUAUUACUCCUCUACAUUUCUAGCAGAAAAGGGGAAAAUUAUGUCUGGCUGGGCACUGGAAUUGCUUUAACAACCUCAUAGUCUUUCUGAGGCUUCAUAAAUUACAAAUAAGCUCUUGAUGGUUUGAUAUCCUGACCUUUGGAAAUGUUAUUUCUUCUAUUAAAAUAUUAAAUAAAACAAUGUUUUAUUUGAUCUACAUUGGCUACAGCAAAA